This 377-nucleotide ribosomal RNA is filed under the name uncultured bacterium. Its description in RNAcentral is "bacterial SSU rRNA". It matches the Rfam family "Bacterial small subunit ribosomal RNA", at positions 523 to 898 of the family's 1533-position model. The record is from RNAcentral.
AUACGUAGGUGGCAAGCGUUGUCCGGAUUUAUUGGGCGUAAAGCGAGCGCAGGCGGAAUGAUAAGUCUGAUGUGAAAGCCCACGGCUCAACCGUGGAACUGCAUCGGAAACUGUCAUUCUUGAGUGCAGAAGAGGAGAGUGGAACUCCAUGUGUAGCGGUGGAAUGCGUAGAUAUAUGGAAGAACACCAGUGGCGAAGGCGGCUCUCUGGUCUGCAACUGACGCUGAGGCUCGAAAGCAUGGGUAGCGAACAGGAUUAGAUACCCUGGUAGUCCAUGCCGUAAACGAUGAGCGCUAGGUGUUGGGGACUUUCCGGUCCUCAGUGCCGCAGCAAACGCAUUAAGCGCUCCGCCUGGGGAGUACGACCGCAAGGUUGAA